GAUGAAGAACACAGCAAAAUGCGAUAAGUAAUGUGAAUUGCAGAAUUCAGUGAAUCAUCGAAUCUUUGAACGCACAUUGCGCCCGCUGGUAUUCCGGCGGGCAUGCCUGUUCGAGCGUCAUUUCAACCCUCAAGCCCCCCGGGUUUGGUGUUGGGGAUCGGCUCUGCCUCACGGCGGUGCCGCCCCCGAAAUACAUUGGCGGUCUCGCUGCAGCCUCCAUUGCGUAGUAGCUAACACCUCGCAACUGGAACGCGGCGCGGCCAUGCCGUAAAACCCCAACUUCUGAAUGUUGACCUCGGAUCAGGUAGGAAUACCCGCUGAACUUAAGCAUAUCAAUAAGCGGAGGA
Molecule: unclassified non-coding RNA, 347 nt
Filed under: soil metagenome
Description: partial contains 5.8S ribosomal RNA, internal transcribed spacer 2, and large subunit ribosomal RNA
Rfam family: 5.8S ribosomal RNA (bases 1-120)
Source: RNAcentral